UGGGGAAUUUUGGACAAUGGGGGCAACCCUGAUCCAGCCAUGCCGCGUGCGGGAAGAAGGCCUUCGGGUUGUAAACCGCUUUUGGUCGGAAAGAAAAGGUACUGGUUAAUACCCAGUGCACUUGACGGUACCGGCAGAAUAAGCACCGGCUAACUACGUGCCAGCAGCCGCGGUAAUACGUAGGGUGCGAGCGUUAAUCGGAAUUACUGGGCGUAAAGCGUGCGCAGGCGGUUUGUUAAGUCUGAUGUGAAAGCCCCGGGCUCAACCUGGGAAUGGCAUUGGAAACUGGCAAGCUGGAGUGUGGCAGAGGGGGGUGGAAUUCCGCGUGUAGCAGUGAAAUGCGUAGAGAUGCGGAGGAACACCGAUGGCGAAGGCAGCCCCCUGGGCCAACACUGACGCU
This 400-nucleotide ribosomal RNA is filed under the name uncultured bacterium. Its description in RNAcentral is "bacterial SSU rRNA". It matches the Rfam family "Bacterial small subunit ribosomal RNA", at positions 355 to 747 of the family's 1533-position model. The record is from RNAcentral.